UUCAAAAUGCAAAAUUGUGAGGUUUUUCGUGGAGAACGCAUUGGAGAGAUUGAAAACUGAUUUGGAGCAUUCGAUUCAGGGUCUAAAUUCAAGAGAAUUUCGUGAGGAAUCUCAUGGUAAUCUCAGAAAAUGCGAGAAGAAGCUUCGUUCAAGCUUGAAAAUAUUCUGAGGUAGUUCGGAAGGAAAAAGCUCCAACACAGUGAUUUGGAGCCCGCGUGUUUGGCCUACAGG
Molecule: long non-coding RNA, 231 nt
Organism: Solanum dulcamara
Lineage: Eukaryota; Viridiplantae; Streptophyta; Magnoliopsida; Solanales; Solanaceae
Exons: 3
Source: RefSeq, a predicted model, not a curated record